Long non-coding RNA from Callorhinchus milii (elephant shark), 97 nucleotides. RefSeq lists it as uncharacterized. NCBI's taxonomy places the organism in Eukaryota, Metazoa, Chordata, Chondrichthyes, Chimaeriformes, Callorhinchidae. The transcript has 3 exons. The record is from RefSeq and is a predicted model, not a curated record.
AACUGGUCCUUCAACAUCUCUGUCGACAGAUUCAACUUUACCUGUUACAACAUCACCACCAACUACAGAUUCAACUCUAUUUGAAACAGCAGUCCCA